GGGCCGGGGCGGGGGGCUUAAACAUGGCAAGUCGAACGCUGAAGCCUGGUGCUUGCACCGGGUGGAUGAGUGGCGAACGGGUGAGUAACACGUGAGUAACCUGCCCCUGACUUCGGGAUAAGCCCGGGAAACUGGGUCUAAUACCGGAUACGACUGCCGGACGCAUGUCUGGUGGUGGAAAGUUUUUUCGGUUGGGGAUGGGCUCGCGGCCUAUCAGUUUGUUGGUGAGGUAAUGGCUCACCAAGACGACGACGGGUAGCCGGCCUGAGAGGGCGACCGGCCACACUGGGACUGAGACACGGCCCAGACUCCUACGGGAGGCAGCAGUGGGGAAUAUUGCACAAUGGGGGAAACCCUGAUGCAGCGACGCAGCGUGCGGGAUGACGGCCUUCGGGUUGUAAACCGCUUUCAGCAGGGAAGAAGCGCAAGUGACGGUACCUGCAGAAGAAGUACCGGCUAACUACGUGCCAGCAGCCGCGGUAAUACGUAGGGUACGAGCGUUGUCCGGAAUUAUUGGGCGUAAAGAGCUCGUAGGUGGUUGGUCACGUCUGCUGUGGAAACGCAACGCUUAACGUUGCGCGUGCAGUGGGUACGGGCUGACUAGAGUGCAGUAGGGGAGUCUGGAAUUCCUGGUGUAGCGGUGAAAUGCGCAGAUAUCAGGAGGAACACCGGUGGCGAAGGCGGGACUCUGGGCUGUAACUGACACUGAGGAGCGAAAGCAUGGGGAGCGAACAGGAUUAGAUACCCUGGUAGUCCAUGCCGUAAACGUUGGGCACUAGGUGUGGGGGGCAUUCCACGUUCUCCGCGCCGUAGCUAACGCAUUAAGUGCCCCGCCUGGGGAGUACGGUCGCAAGGCUAAAACUCAAAGGAAUUGACGGGGGCCCGCACAAGCGGCGGAGCAUGCGGAUUAAUUCGAUGCAACGCGAAGAACCUUACCAAGGCUUGACAUACACCGGACCGUCCUGGAAACAGGAUUUCUUCUUUGAAGCUGGUGUACAGGUGGUGCAUGGUUGUCGUCAGCUCGUGUCGUGAGAUGUUGGGUUAAGUCCCGCAACGAGCGCAACCCUCGUUCUAUGUUGCCAGCACGUGAUGGUGGGAACUCAUAGGAGACUGCCGGGGUCAACUCGGAGGAAGGUGGGGAUGACGUCAAAUCAUCAUGCCCUUUAUGUCUUGGGCUUCACGCAUGCUACAAUGGCUGGUACAGAGAGAGGCGAACCCGUGAGGGCAAGCGAAUCCCUUAAAGCCAGUCUCAGUUCGGAUCGUAGUCUGCAAUUCGACUACGUGAAGUCGGAGUCGCUAGUAAUCGCAGAUCAGCAACGCUGCGGUGAAUACGUUCCCGGGCCUUGUACACACCGCCCGUCAAGUCACGAAAGUCGGUAACACCCGAAGCCGGUGGCCUAACCGUAAGGAAGGGGACCGUCUAAGGGGGAUGGU
Molecule: ribosomal RNA, 1434 nt
Filed under: Brevibacterium sp.
Lineage: Bacteria; Bacillati; Actinomycetota; Actinomycetes; Micrococcales; Brevibacteriaceae
Also listed under: 1 other name
Description: bacterial SSU rRNA
Rfam family: Bacterial small subunit ribosomal RNA
Source: RNAcentral